AUUGAACGCUGGCGGCAGGCCUAACACAUGCAAGUCGAGCGAGCGGCGGACGGGUGAGUAAUGUAUGGGGAUCUGCCUGAUGGCGGGGGAUAACUACUGGAAACGGUAGCUAAUACCGCAUACCAUCAGAUGAACCCAUAUGGGAUUAGCUUGUAGGUGAGGUAACGGCUCACCUAGGCGACGCGCCCUAGCUGGUCUGAGAGGAUGCUCAGCCAAACGGGGACUGAGAAACGGCCCAGACUCCGACGGGAGGCAGCAGUGGGGAAUAUUGCACAAUGGGCGCAAGCCGGAUGCAGCCAUGCCGCGUGUAUGAAGAAGGCCUGCGGGUUGUAAAGUACUUUCAGUCGGGAGGCGUUACCGACAGAAGAAGCACCGGCUAACUCCGUGCCAGCAGCCGCGGUAAUUC
This 406-nucleotide ribosomal RNA is filed under the name uncultured bacterium. Its description in RNAcentral is "partial 16S ribosomal RNA". It matches the Rfam family "Bacterial small subunit ribosomal RNA", at positions 30 to 526 of the family's 1533-position model. The record is from RNAcentral.